Long non-coding RNA from Lycium ferocissimum, 1895 nucleotides. RefSeq lists it as uncharacterized. NCBI's taxonomy places the organism in Eukaryota, Viridiplantae, Streptophyta, Magnoliopsida, Solanales, Solanaceae. The record is from RefSeq and is a predicted model, not a curated record. The transcript is spliced from 2 exons.
CGUUUUGACACCCUUCAGAAAUCACGCUCUUUUUCUCACCUUUGUUUUCUCUUCAUUGGCUCAAAGUGAAGCGUUCAAAUUGUGAGUGAAAGGAAGCACUCUCGUUCUCGUCGUCCCAGUCGCUGCACUACAACAAGUAUGUAGAUUAAGCUUAACUCCUACUUUGUGUUGUCCUUAAAUGAGUUGAUUGUUAAUCGUUGAACUUAUAUGUGUCUUUGUCCCAUUAACAGUUUUAAUGUAACUUUUGAGCUCGAGUUCCUACAAUGAUUUCAAAAUGUAGAAUUUUCAAAUGGUUUCAAAUGCUUAAUAAGGAGUUCAGUUAGAAUGUUUCCCUUCGAUUUCUCAUUAGUAUAGUUUGUUAGCAGCUUCCUUUCAUUAGCUAAUAUCAACUUCAUCUUUUGUAUUCCUUGUCGUGUAUCAAGUAUUGAUUCGAGAGUUCACUGGCUUAAGUUCUUUUCUUGACUGUUUCUUGACUUAAAGUGUAUAUAGAACUCCGUCAUCUGACCAAAUUGGUUCAGUGUUUAUUUUGAUUAUUUUUCAAAAGUGUCCAGCUAGAUGACUCUUUAAGUGUUUCCCUGUGUCUUGGACAAAGCUUGUGAACCAUUUCUUUUCCUGUCUAAGUUAAAUGUUGAUAAUGUUAUUUGAUUAGGUGGUUGUAUGCUCGUGAGUUUAUUUGCCAGUGGUUAAAUGAAUAGCUAAAUGAGGUUAUGUCCAUGUACUGCUAUCUUGUCCAUUUAGUGCUAAUUUUUGGGUUGUGACAAGUAAGUAUGGAUCAUUGCAUUUUAGGUUUCACUUUAAUGAAGUUUUCUAGAAAGGACUAGUCUAUGCGAAAUGGGGUUUAUUUUCGUCUCUUUAUUUUGAUGAAUGACACUUGCAUUCCAACUUUUUUUUUUGUGUGUGUGUGAAUUAGUUAAGGUUUCACAAUCUCAGUGGUAUGUAUUAACUCACCUUUGCAUCUCUUUUUCUAGCUUGCUUAAUGGCAAGCCAACUUUCAUUUCAGAUUUUGUGAAUUUAACAUUUCGAAACCUGCCUAAUACAUUCAAAUUAUUAAGUUGUUUGAUGUCUAAACCUUACCAACUAAAGAAAGAUAUAAGAAAUUCUCCGCUACAAAUUUAUAACAAGAGUAAAAAAUAUGCAUAUAUCUUGAAGUACUUUUGGUGUUAGCUGUGGAGCUGUUUUGGUUCCCUUUCCCUGCUUGUGGAUGGUGAUUAUAAAGGUCUUGUUUUUUGAGGUUUUGGUCUUGGCUUAAUGCUGAUGUGUAGAUUAGUGUAAAGAGUCAAUGGACAUAUUGUUUAUCUUGAUGUUCCUUUGUGUGCUGAAUGGCUAGCAUGCUUUAGGAUUUGUUUGCUUUAUGGAAAAUUUGUUUUCUUUGGGUUAAGUUGAACAUGUCAAAAUUCUGCUCUCGUUUACUAUUUACGUGGUGUCUUUCUUUGGCCAUUGCUUUCCUUUCUUGUUUGAAGUUCAAGUCUUGUAAAUCCCCACUUUACUAAUCCUGUUUCCUUCAUUUUAUGCAUGACCCUCUCGUACGAGUCCAAUGGACUCAUUUUCUUCCCGCAUUCGGUGUUGGGCUAAAGCCCAACAUAAUAUUCUUUAUCGAGUCAGCCCCAUCAGCAGUGUAGCAAAAAGGAUUUUGGGCCAAAGCCCAUAUGGCAGAAGCAGAUUGCAGCGGCAUAAAAUGGGCCAGACCCAUCUAGCUAUAUUUUUCUCCUCUACUUUAUUUUCCUUUGUGUAUUUGAUUUGUAUUACAUGACUAACAUUUUACCUUGUUUUAUUUUCUUAACUUAGAUGAAUCCUAGCGGAAUACGUGAGAAUCGUAGUUGCCGAAAGAUUAAAUGUGGUUCUUUUGAUAAUCGUUAUCAUCUACAAAAUUUAUAGUCAAACGAAAUGAUUUCCCA